Saccostrea echinata is the source of this 202-nucleotide long non-coding RNA. RefSeq lists it as uncharacterized. The record is from RefSeq and is a predicted model, not a curated record. Lineage: Eukaryota; Metazoa; Mollusca; Bivalvia; Ostreida; Ostreidae. The transcript has 3 exons.
GUCUCAUCUGAUGAAGAGAAUGCAAGUUUUUCAGUGUUAAAUAACAAUGUUAGUCAUGCAGAACGAAGCAUACCAGGACAUGCAACACAGGCAGUUGUGUCUGAUACAUACAGAAACUAUGUAGAAAAUGUCAUUUGUAUUGAUGAAUCAGAGGAGGAAUUUGAUAUGGAGAAAUCUAGGGAUGUUCAAGAUGACAAUCAAG